UACGAAAUGUGCAAACGUUAUUCGGAAUCACUGGGCUUAAAGGGUGCGUAGGCGGUCUUUUAAGUAGGGUGUGAAAGCCCCCGGCUCAACCGGGGAACUGCGCCCUAAACUAGAAGGCUUGAGUAAGGUAGGGGUGUGUGGAACUUCCAGUGGAGUGGUGAAAUGUGUUGAUAUUGGAAGGAACGCCGGUGGCGAAAGCGACACACUGGACCUUGUCUGACGCUGAGGCACGAAAGCCAGGGGAGCAAACGGG
This 253-nucleotide ribosomal RNA is filed under the name uncultured bacterium. RNAcentral's name for it is "partial 16S ribosomal RNA". It matches the Rfam family "Bacterial small subunit ribosomal RNA", at positions 524 to 776 of the family's 1533-position model. The record is from RNAcentral.